CCUACGGGUGGCAGCAGUGAGGAAUAUUGGUCAAUGGGCGCGAGCCUGAACCAGCCAAGUCGCGUGAGGGAUGAAGGUUCUAUGGAUCGUAAACCUCUUUUAUAAGGGAAUAAAGUUUGGUACGUGUCCUCUUUUGUAUGUACCUUGUAAAUAAAGAUCGGCUAACUCCGUGCCAGCAGCCGCGGUAAUACGGAGGAUCCGAGCGUUAUCCGGAUUUAUUGGGGUUAAAGGGUGCGUAGGCGGACUGUUAAGUCAGCGGUAAAAGCCCGGGGCUCAACCCCGGCGAGCCGUUGAAACUGGCUGUCUUGAGAUGGCGAGAGGUAUGCGGAAUGCGGGGUGUAGCGGUGAAAUGCAUAGAUAUUGCGCAGAACUCCGAUUGCGAAGGCAGCAUACCGGCGGCGAUCUGACGCUGAGGCACGAAAGCGUGGGUAUCGAACAGGAUUAGAUACCCGUGUAGUC
This 459-nucleotide ribosomal RNA is filed under the name uncultured bacterium. RNAcentral's name for it is "partial 16S ribosomal RNA". It matches the Rfam family "Bacterial small subunit ribosomal RNA", at positions 338 to 795 of the family's 1533-position model. The record is from RNAcentral.